This 1447-nucleotide ribosomal RNA is filed under the name metagenome. RNAcentral's name for it is "bacterial SSU rRNA". It matches the Rfam family "Bacterial small subunit ribosomal RNA". The record is from RNAcentral.
GAGUUUGAUCCUGGCUCAGGAUUAACGCUGGCGGUAGGCAUAACACAUGCAAGUCGAGCGAGGAUAGUUUUCGGAUUGUUCUAGCGGCAAACGGCUAAGUAACACGUUGGUACUUGCCCCGAAGUGAGGGAUAACUGCGAGAAAUCGUAGCUAAUACCGCAUGUGUCCCGACUUGUCGGGAUAAAGCAGCAAUGCGCUUCGGGAGAGGCCUGCGUCCCAUCAGCUUGUUGGUGAGGUAAAAGCUCACCAAGGCUAUGACGGGUACCUGGUGUGAGAGCACGACCAGGCAGAAUGGGACUGAGACACGGCCCAUACUCCUACGGGAGGCAGCAGAGAGGAAUUUUCCGCAAUGGGCGAAAGCCUGACGGAGCCAUACCGCGUGCAGGAUGACGUCUUUCGGGAUGUAAACUGCUUUUCUGGGGAAAGAAGUUCUGACGGUACCCCAGGAAUAAGGACCGGCUAACUACGUGCCAGCAGCUGCGGUAAUACGUAGGGUUCAAGCGCUAUCCGGAAUUACUGGGCGUAAAGCGAUCAUAGGCGGGAGAGAAAGUUCAACUUGAAAUACAUUGGCUCAACUAAUGUGCUUUGUGGAAUACUUCUUUCCACGAGGAAGACAGAGGCAGAUGGAAUUCCUGUUGUAGGGGUUAAAUCCGUAGAUAACAGGAGGAACACCAAAAGCGAAGGCAAUCUGCUGGGUCUUUCCUGACGCUGCUUAGAUCGAAAGCGUGGGGAGCGAAAAGGAUUAGAUACCCUUGUAGUCCACGCCCUAAACGAUGAAUGCUCGGUGUUAGACGGUCUAAUCCCGUUUAGUGCCCAAGUUAACACGUUAAGCAUUCCGCCUGAAGAGUACGGUCGCAAGAUUAAAACUCAAAGGAAUAGACGGGGAUCCACACAAGCGGUGGAGCGUCUGGUUUAAUUCGACAGCAAGCGAGGAACCUCACCAGGGUUUGACAUCCUUGGAAUCCCGACGAAAGUUGGGAGUGCCCUCGGGAACCAAGUGACAGGUGUUGCAUGGUCGUCGUCAGCUCGUGCCUUGAGGUGUUCGGUUAAGUCCGCGAACGAGCGCAACCCUCGUCGUAUGUUGUAUGUUUCAUGCGAGACUGCCCUGUUUAACGGGGAGGAAGGUGAGGAUGACGUCGGAUCAGCAUGGCCCUUAUACCCUGGGCGACACAGGCGCUACAAUGGUCGGUACAGAGGGUCGCGAAGCGGCAACGUGUAGCUAAUCCCAUAAAACCGAUCUCAAUUCGGAUUGGAGUCUGCAACUCGACUCCAUGAAGUCGGAAUCGCUAGUAACCGUGAACCAGCCACGUCACGGUGAAUAUGUUCCUGGAUCUUGUACUCACCGCCCGUCAAGUCAUGAAAGGCAGAGACGCCCAAAGUCGCGUUAUCCUUUCGGGGAGCGUGCCUAAGGUGGAGCUGCUGAUUGGGACUAAGUCGUAACAAGGUA